Molecule: long non-coding RNA, 19360 nt
Organism: Ictalurus punctatus (channel catfish)
Lineage: Eukaryota; Metazoa; Chordata; Actinopteri; Siluriformes; Ictaluridae
Source: Ensembl
GUCGUCUUCAGUGUGUGUGUGUGUGGGUGUGUGUGUGUGUGUGUGGGUGUACAAGUGUGUGUGUGUGUCAGUGUGUUUGAAGUAUUUGUUCACGAAGAUAGGUCUGGAUAACUGUAUUUACAAUGCAGUCUUCUGGUUUGUGUGUCAGUGUAUAGAAAAUGACAUUAUUCGUGGAGCGGAGGCGUGCGGGCUGAGCCGGAUCCUGAAUGCUGCACUGACAAUGAAGCUUGGAGGGACUUCAAGGUCACACCGCAGAGAGCUCUGUGAAUGAGAAAGUGAGAGGAAGAAAAAGAGAAGGUGGGGGGAGAACUGUGAGAGCAAAGCGAGCUGGAGGCAAAACGCCGAUUCGCCAUGCGAUGCUUGCAUAUCAAGUUGCUGCCCUGUGUCCAAAUUAAGAAGGCAAGAGAACAUCGCAGUCACCGAGGUACUUGCCUUUCUCCAUUAUACACACUCCCAUUCAUUCUUCUGCACAUUACCAAAAACUAGUUGAACGCAAACAAGUCAAUUGCAGUUUACCUAGUGCUGGUCCAAUUAGCUUGUGCACAAAGGUCCGUCCAAAAAAACAAAAAAACAAAAAAGGAAUCAAUUCAUGGCCUAAUUUGCGACUAAUUUGGACCAUCUGCUUUAGCAGCCAUGGAGUGACAGGUAUUCCCCGUUCCUAUAUUAUCUCGACUAUUUGCUCAGACUAGUGGAGCAGAACACCCCUGUGCAUCUUGCUCGCUCUUUCAAAUCAGCCUGACUCCACUGUUCCGGAUUCCUGCCUUCCUCCCAUCGACCUUCCCACAGGUAACACUCCUGGACUGAACUCAAGGCAAACAAAGCACGCUCUGUCCAGAUUCAUCUGAGAAAAGGGCAGCACUUUCACUGACUAUUCGAGCACCAUGGGCGCUGCAUAAUUGCACUGACUAGAGAAGUUUCACAGCAACGCUGGGUAAGGAAUAAAACACUUCAGGGUGCACUGUAUUAGGAAAAUAAUCACUGACGGUUUGGUGCAUCGUGAAGAACAGGAGUUGAUAAUUUUCCAAUAGCAGCACAUCCUAAAGUCUUUUAUUUCUCUUCCAGUGAUUUCAAACAACAUGUCAUACUUUGAUAACAUUUGGUUAUGACAAGUUAGGGCAUGUACUAAUCAUGAACUAAUGAAGCGCUAACCUUAACUACGAUGUAAGUCUUAUGAACUCAUGUGUGAAUAACGACCACCUUAAGUACAUGUUAGUAAAUGUUUGUUAGUUAAUGUAUUAAUUAACAUGUAGGAUAAAUGAAAUCAAACAUGCACUAUAAGAAACAAUAUAAAUAAAACAUGCAUAAUGCAUGUACACACAAACAUCAUUGGAUGGGGUUGGAUUACUUGAAUAAUUUACACUGACCCUCCACACUCAUAAUAAACAUCAAUAAUUUCAUCUCAGUGCCAUCCAGUGAUGUUUGUAUAUUUAGCUGCAUAUGGCAAAUUAUGUAAACAAUUUGAAAUUAUGCAUGUUUAAUUCAUAUUGUUUCUUAAAAAGCAUGCUUGAUUUAAACUAAUGCGCUUCAUUAGUUUGUGAUAAGUACAUGCCUUAAAUCAUCAUAAGUUCAUAGUUAAGUAAGUAUUAAUUCAGGUAUCAGUGCAUGAUUAUUAAUGUAUUGUUAUUAUAAAGUGUCACCCAUACCUUUGUCAAGUUACAGUUUUACUUAAUGUUGUUGAACAUCCAUAAGACAGUUUAGUUCCUAUUAUCUGUCAAAUCAAAGCAAACCAGUGACUACAUUUCCCAGCCUGCACUGCAGCCUACAAACAUGGCCGCCAUGGACUGCAAUUCCCAGAAACACUCACAUUCAUUCUAAUCACGCACACCUGCAUCAAAUACACAGCACUCACAUCCACAGUAUAAAGGGACUGUUUGAACACUAUGACUUUGCAAAGUAUUGAGUGUUAUCACCGUACCAUGCGUUUGUAUUGUUUCAUGUUUGUUUUGUUUCAUGGUCGUUGAUCUUGUUUCUUCUUUCAUGUUCUCGAUUCUCGCCUUGCCUCGUUUAUGCCUGUUUGCAGAUUUCCUGACCCAUUACCUGUUUUUGACCACAAUAUUGUUUCAUGAUUUGGAUUUGUCUGCCUACAUCUCUUUAUUAAAAGCUCUUAUCUGCACUUGCAUCUGUCCUAACCUCCAUUACGUUAUUAACGUGACAUUAUCACUUAUCACUUAUGUUAUAGCAGCUAAACAGUUCCUCAGCAUCCUUUCUUUUACACUCUCUUCACAUUAGUAAGACAAAAAAAUGCAGCUUGUCGUCUUGCAGAGAAACCAGUAACUGCAAAAUCCUCUGCCCUGACUCCUUCCAUAAUUAUUCAAUAAACCUCUUCUUAAGGAUAUUUUUCUGUCAUUAAUUGUACAUUUUAUAUGUACAUUACUAUGUUUAAUGGGUAAUGACACUUAUUAUACACUCAUUUGUUUAUUAAUGUGGCACAUCAACCAUGCAAACCUGAGAUUUGAUUUACUACUGUCAGAGCAAUGCUGUUAUACAAAAUUAAUCAACAAUUGAACAGCACCAUGGUAUAAAAAUUAUUAUUCUGUAUGACUAUUUGUACAUGUUAAGGAUAAUGGGAAAGUACCGCAUUUGUCAUGAAAUGAGUUCUGUUAUGGAAGGGUGCUGUGUGUAUAUAUAUAUAUAUAUAUAUAUAUAUAUAUAUAUAUAUAUAUAUAUAUAUAUAUAUAUAUAUAUAUAUUUCAAUUCUUUAUUUCAUCCUCUAUGGAAUGUGACUGAAAGGCAGGUUUUAUCAUUCAAAAAUUGCUUAACUUUAAGAAGCAUGAGACUUUGCUAUUGUUCAGGCUCUAUUUAGAGGCAGUUCGUUGAAAUUUCCAAAAGGUAUUCCAGAGGCUUUUUUUUUUUAAACAACAUGCCUGAAUUGCUGAUAAUUGCUCCAAACGUAGAACAGCUGAUAGCAAAGCACCAGGGGAGCCCAGAGAUAUAUCAGUAGCUGUUAGCAGUCAAACAGUAAAUAGUUGAUGGCAAACGCCUGAUAGUCUGGCUCCUUUUAGAGUCUCACUUUAUCAGUCGCAAUUAGCGUGCCGAAGUAUAUUCUUGGGUGUACACAGGAACUGUUUUCCCUGCCAUCAAAAUCUAUUUGUGUCUCAAGGCAUGGGAUAGAUUGGGAUGAGUGACUGGAAAGUUUGAGUGUGUGUAUGGUGAUCUAUGAAUGCACACCCAAAGCUUCAUGUGAACAAGCAACCCUUGAGAGAAGAACUGUAGAAUGGUGACAGGGACAUGAAAAGACACUCCACAGAGAAUAAACUGCUAAGCCUCUAUUUUUUUAUUUUUAAUUUUUACAUUUUUUUUGCUAGCAAUUUAAGCCGCAUAUUCCCGGCUUAACCCUGGAAAGCUUAAAAUGUUCUUAAAGCAGUGUGAGAAUCAUAAUUAAAUGUUUCCCCUGACAUUUCUCAUGUAUUCACUUUUUUCCUAGGACUCUACAAUUAAUCAUAAUUUAAUGUCAAAUGGAUACGCUCCUUUGGCCGCUGUGCGUAAUUGAGCAUUACUCAGAUUCUCCAAAGGUCCUGGUAGGUGUGAAAGGAAGAUACACAUCACCGUGACUCUUGUGCACCUCUGUUUUGAAUCACGCUGCCAGAAAUCAGCCAUGCCCAGGUUGUAACCCUAUGAUUAAUUGCACCUCGCUGGAGACAUUACCGUGCGAGGAUAUUAAUAAUUCCAGGUUUGCUUCUUUUUAAGAUUAGUAACAGGCAGGGGAAAGAGAAGCAGCUCGGAGGUCGAAUCGGUUCCCACUUGCUUUUUUAUAGGGCUCCUUAUCUAGCCAGCAGCUGCUUUGUAGUUAUUUCAUGAAGAUUGCUGUGGUGGGCUUAACGGGGCUUAACCUCAAAUCACCUGUGAAGAAAGCUGAUUUUCAGCCAUGCAUUAAAAAAUAUGGCCAACAUACACCCCAGCAUUAAUGCAGCCUACUUUCCAACUCUUCUUUUUCAUGGAAUAAGGGGAUAUGAAGUAGAAAGAAAGAAAAUUCUGGUUCCAUGCCAACUUGGUUUCAUUCAUAAGAAUCCACACCAAAGUAACUAUUAAUACAAGCUCUGAAUGCAAGAUUAUAAUUAUUAUCAUAAUUUAUUUAUUUAUGUAUUUAUUUUUAAACCUUACUUGCUAUUAAUUUGGUGUGGAACCAACUUUGGGGUUAAUGUUGAUUAUAUUUGAGCAUUUUAAAACUUGUUUGAUGGGAUUACUUUUAUAGCAAUUUUGUGACUUUCCUACAGUCAAGUGAUUUACUGAUUUGGUUAUGCUCCUACUGAAACAGCUGUUACUAAUGACCCCCUGUAGGAGUGUAAUAACGCCUUCUGGUGCUCCGAGGCAAAUUCCCUCAUUUUCCUCAUCGUCUGUUGUUCAUCUUGAAGAAAAUCAAAGGAAAUGCACCACAAUUGGCCCCUGAGGGGAGUGGGAGGUCUGCAAGGUAAGGAACAAAACCUUCAAUCUUCAUGCUCCUGUUAUUGAAGCUGCUGCAUGCAGAAUUUUAGCCGCUCUUGAAAAGAGAAAGAGAAUCAUCUCAGUUAUGCAGGCUAAUUCAAGAUCGAGUUCAAAAGCUGUACAGAGUGGCAGAAGAGAGUGGCAUGUGACAGGUGCCACAGAAUAGAGAACCAGAGAAAUCCCAGCUCUUAAAAAAAAAUAAAAAAUUUAAAAAAAUAAAAAAUUAAGUGUGCUAAGAUGUGUACCAAAACAUCAUGACAAACUCUGCAAACAUCCAUUCAAAACACAAUUUUUUUAUUUAUAAAUAUUUAUUAGGGGUGUAAUGACAUCGUUUUAGUGUUUCAAAUAGCUGCAUCUGUAUUUGAAUUUAAAACCAAAUUGGGCGUGGCCUUUCCUGGAAGAGUGGUAUCAAGUAGCACUGGAAAAACUGUCUCCAUUGCCAUGUUUACAUUGUUUCCAUUGCCAUGUGCCUGUGUUUUGAUCCUGUCUCCACCCCUGUCCCAUCACUGGUCUGUUACCUAAUGUCUGCCCCUGUUCUGAGUUCAAUCCUUGAUUUUCCCAUUAGUUUGUUUUUAUAAACUGCCAUGUUCCUUUGUCUCAUUGCAAAGUCCUGUGCACUGCAGCUCAUACAUGCACUGUGCCGUGCAUUCCUGCAUUCCAUGUUCUUUGUUUCCAGUUUUACUUCCAUGUUUAGACCCAUACCUGAAUUACUGUUUGAUGAUGGAUAAUCCAUGAUAAUGAAUAUAUCUUUAAUUGCCCUGUCUGCCUGUAUCUUGCACCCUGCUAUAUUUCAUUACCCCAUGACUCCUGUAUUCCCCUCUAAUAUAAAUAACACAUCAAUUUUACACAUGUGUUCCAGGACACAGUACUGUCAGUACAAAAACAGAUUUGGUAAAAAGUAAUCACAAUAAUGGCCUUUUAUAAUGGCCCUUGGAGGUAAUCCUAGUCAUUUUACUUUGUUUAUUUGGUAGUUAAUUAGAAUGAGUCAAAUCCAUCCAUUCAUUUUCUGUACCGCUUAUCCUACACAGGGUGGCAGGGGAGUCUGGAAUCUAUCCUAGGGAGCUCUGGGCACAAUUGCAUGUGCAUUCACAAUAUGUAAACGCCAAUCAGCCUUCAAUGCAUGUCUUUGGACUAGAGAAGGAAACCAGAGUACUCGGAGGAAACACCUGAAGCACGGGGACAAUGUGCAAGCUCUGCACACACAGGGUAGAGGCGAGAAUUGAACCUCCAACCCAGGAGGUGUGAAGCAAACGUGCUAACCACUAAGCCAAAGUGCCUCCCAAUAAACAAGGCAAAAUUUUAAAAAAGAAUGAACCACGUUUAAAACUGAUCUUGUUUCAAAAUAUCUCAAGCUCGUGCAGUCAUAAUUUCUACCCGCCUUAGAUAUUUCCAUCCAUCCAUCCAUCUUCUACCACUUACUCCUUCUUCAGGGUCACAGGGGAACCUGGAGCCAAUCCCAGGGAGCAAUAUGGAGUUUGGUUGUGACCUUUAGUCUCAACCAGAUGUCCUAAAAUAAAAAGAAUAGUGCGCCUUCAAUUUAUCCCUUAUAUGUACCUAAAAUAUAUUAGCAUUCUGAACUGUACUUCUUAUUGACCUGUUUCACCCAGGUGACCUGACUGCAGCCAGUAAUAAGUAUAAUAAAGGAAAAGCACAUGAUGUACUAAGAAUCAUAUUAUUACCAACAUCUUAUAGAUGCUUUGAGGGUCAGUGACUUCACCAAUAAAUUGUGAGUCAUCCAGAUAAUGAGUAAGUGUAACUACCUCUCGAGACCAGAAAUUUACUUAAUGCUAAAAGUUCAGCAGCAUUAUUUUCCAGCUGAGAUGACAGCAAGAUUAUACUCUGACCUUGCUGAUGUCCCCAUGGCAGCAAUAAGCAACACUGCCAUUUGUACCUUUCACAACAAUCCCUUUCGGUUUUUUAUCUUUUUUUUUACUUUGAUUAUCGUCAUGCUCAGACCUGAAGAUAAUGGAAUGUGAACGCAAACUGUGGCAGAGAAUCAUUGUGUUUGUGUACUGCUGAAUCAAUGGGCUUUUUUCAUCCAGACUCAUGCAAACGCCUGCUCUCUCUGACAUUGAGAGCUGCCGGUGCAUGCAUCAGUAAGCCGGCCCUCUCUUGGUAAACACAAAUCUUAACAUGGCAUCGCUAGCUCUGCAAAUGCUCAGCUCUAUUGAUUUGCCAUUAGCGUCCAUCUCGCUGGAUUUUUAUUUUUGUAUUUUUCCAAAGCAAAUACUUGCGUGUUGACUUUAUGGCAACUGGUUCCACUUUAGGUGCAAUGUUUUGGAAUGGAGGAUGAGAUGGAAUGAGGAUAUCUGUGCAAACAAUAUCCAUAUUUCUAAUCAGAUCUGUAGGCUUGUAUUUGCAUAUUUGCUCAAACAAGUUACACAGUAAAAUGUCGAAGUGCAAAUUAGCUCUUACAAUGUGUGUCUAGUCAGCCCAGAGUUUUCUCAGAUGAUUUUAUAUAGGUGAAACAGGGUGCUAGUACUAAGCAGGUAUAAAACAGUAGUUAUCCUGAGAUUAAAUUUCAGGUCAGCGGUUAUCACAACACAUGACAUUUUGCAAAAUGUGUGAGAUCCACAAUAGGUCUCGGUUUACUUGAACACUCGUUGUACUGUUUGUGGGCCACCAAAUUCAUAAUUUUGCACCAAUGAACAGUUUGACACUAAUAUGGUUUUGGCCCGUGUCAGUCAACAGGUCAGUUUCCUAAGAAAAAAAUUACGACUUAUCUGAAUCUCCAUUCCAAUCCUUUCAAUCCACCUACAAGUGAUUCAGCCCCCAUCACAUAUACAGUGGUGCUUGAACGUUUGUGUAUUUUCUACAUUUCUGCAUAAAUAUGACAAAACGUCAUCAGAUGUUCACACAAGUCCUAAACGUAGACAAUAAGAACCCAAUUAAACAAAUGAGACAAAACUAUUACACUUGAUCAUUUAUUUAAUGAGAAAAAUGAUCCAAUAUUACAUAUCUGUGAGUGAUAAAAUUAUAUAAACUUUUGCUUUCCGUAUGUGGUGUGACCCCUUUGUGCAGCAAUAACUGCAACUAAACGUUUCUCCUAACUGUUCAGUCCUGCACAUUGGCUUGGAGGAAUUUUAGCACAUUCCUCAGUACAGAACAGCUUCAACUCUGGGAUGUGGGUGGGUUUCCUCACAUAAACUGCUUGCUUCAGGUCUUUCCACAACAUUGGAUUAAAUUAAGGUCAGGAAUUUGACUUGGCCAUUCCAAAACAUUAACUUUAUUCUCCUUUAACGAUUCUUUGGUAGAAUGACUUAUGUUAUUCAGUUCUUAGAUAGCUGUCCUGACAUUUUCCUUUAGAAUUUGAUGGUAUAAUUCAGAAUUCAGUGUUCCAUCAAUGAUGGCAAGUCAUCCAGGCCAAGAUGUAGCAAAACAGGCCCAAACCAUUAUACUAGCACCACCAUGUUUCACCAAUGGUAUAAGGUUCUUAUGUUGGAAUGCAGUGUUUUGCUUUCUCCAAAUAUAACAUUUCUCAUUCGAAAAAGUUCUAUUUGGUCUCAUCCUUCAAUAGGCUUCUGGCUUGUGUACAUGAUGUUUAGAAGGGCAGCAAUGUUCUUUUUGGGGAGCAGUGGUUUUCUUCUUGCAAACCUGCCAUGCCGUGUUCUUGUGAUGGUGGACUCAUGAACAUUAGACAACGUGAGAGAGUCCUUUAGAUGCUUAGAAGUUACCCUAGGUUCCUCUGUGACCUCACGGACUAUAACUCAUCUUGCUUUUGAAGUGAUCUUGGUUGGUUGACCACUUCUGGGGAGGGUAACAAUGGUCUUGUAUUGGUGGAGUCCAAACUCUUUAGAGAUGGUUUUGUAACCUUUUCCAGCCUGAUGAGCAUCAACAACUCUUUCAAACUCUCAAUCUCCUUUGUUCGUGCCAUGAUACACAAACAUGUGUUGUUAAGAUCUGACUUUGAUUUUAGAUUUUACACCCAGGUGAACACUUUGUGUUCAAGUGUAACCUUAAGCAGUAGUUCAACACUUACAAUUUUUUUAGAACUGUUGUAUUUUUUUCCACAUUUCAGAUUCUCUAUCACUCAAUAUGUAUGCUCUUAACAUUAUUCUUGAGGCAUGUUGACAUAAUAGUUAUGAAAUACUUCUGCCAACUAAUUGGCAGAUAUUUCAAAUAUCUGUUGGAGAUGAUUGGUGCUUUUGUUCUUCUUUAUAGUCAGCCGAGUACUGAGAGCAUUCAUUUUUGACUGGAGAGGCUUUAUGGUCUACACAACUCAUAAAAACAGUGGAGACGAACAGGGGAGUAACCAUACAGAGUUUAUUCUUGGAAAUCGAUAUCCAUGUGUGGGUUUGUUGUCUGGGUCAGAAGUACAGCUCUGUUAAAUGUUUAUGUUAUAUGAAGUUGUUUGCUCAUUAUUGGUCAGGUUAUACCAAUUUACACCUUUGCACCACAUUUUGAUCCACAGAAGAAAAAACAGUCUGAGGAGGAAAACUAAGGAUAAUUCUUAGUUAGGGUUGCCAGUGGGUAACUCCUCCUGUUGGCUAAACAUUCACUCCAGACUUGUCAAAGCAAGGCGUUAGAUUUGGACAGCAGUCUGCUUGGCUCCGAAGUGACACCAUCGGAUUUAAGGCUCAACUCAUUCUUCCUCUAGGAGAUGUACGUACUUCUCUCUCUGAGCUUACAGUGCAUUUUGUCCAGCUAGGGAAUUUACUGCCGAGUGCUCCACUGUGCAACAAGCAUUAAAGAAGUAGCCCAGACAAGUGCUGAUUUGUAGGACUUGCUAGACAGACCGUAUUGUUCAGAAAAAAUAAUGAACUGGGGGAAAGGGAGGAGAGGCAUUUGCUUGGGCGCAGCGACACAAUCGGGAACUGUGACAUAAAAGGCCAGGGAAGUGCAGACCUGUCAGCACAUCUAAAUAACAAUAACCACCCAAUAGUGGUUUGGACCUGGUGGCAUUCAGCCAAUCUCUUCUCACUUUGCAAUUACAAAGAGCUCCAGGCUCCAGGUAAUCACCACUGAUCUCCGUCAGCCUGGCCAAACGUCAUCAAUUCAGUUUGGGAAGACUCUUAGGGCUGUAGGAGAAGAAAGACUGGAAUGUUGGAACCCUUCACUUUUUUUUUGUUCCUCUGUCCUAUGCUUUUGGAGAUUGCAGACAUGGGUGCCAACUUAGUUUAGAUAACUGUGAGUGAGUCAUGGAAGAGGUAGCAUUGGUACCUCUGAGAUCCGAAACAUGGUCCACCAUUUGACAACCCCAGAUCUAUGGUGUGGAUUUUUUCCCCCCAUCCCCCCCCCCAGCUUGAUCACCUGCCAAUUCCCUCCAAUAGCCAGCUCUCGCUUAUCCUAUGACAGCUACCAACCAGGGAUAGUUAGAGGUAAUACGUGCGUCUUCUGAAACGCUUGAAGCCACCCAACUGCAUAAUUUUUUAGAAUUGCUGCUCAUGUUACACCACAGGACUGCGUAACACACUUAAAGUUAAGUGCUGUCUGCCCUUGUCCACAUACAUGAGCUCACAGACACCCAAAUUUGGCUAGUGUCACUGCGAUUGACAAUGGAGACACAGUUUGCUAUUCGUCCCUCCCAGAUGGCAUAGCCAAUUUUGAUCCCAUGGCUCUUGGCCAUGGGUGGCUGUGAGAGUCAAACUGGCGAUCUCCCAACAAUAUGUGCUUUUGAUCUGGAAAUGCUUUCUUUUUCUUUUUCAAGGACUGCAAUUGUGAAACUAAGCAAGAUUUAGUUUUUGUCUAUUUCAACUCUUGUGUGCAAGAUAUAUUUAAAAACACACAUUUUGUGUGAGCUUGAAUAAAUGAAUGGCCUUGUCGUUUAUGCCCCAUGACAUAUAACCUGACGUUCCAUAAUGGAAUUCUGCAAUUGCUGCUAGUGCUUUUUCCACUCAAAAGCAACAUAAAACUCCUAACAGCCGAAAGUUAACUGUAGCAGUUCACAAAACUGCAUAUUGCACACGAUAUUUUUGAAACUUCAUUAAUUUCACUGACAAUCCUGGAGGUGAAAUUGCAUCAGUUUCCCUAUAGGCAUUAAUUUGUAUUCUUAUUGCAGUGUGCCCAGCUGGCGAACAAACUCCAUAGUUCAGCUGAAAGUAGCUCCAAGGACACAUGCUUCUAAGGCGACUACAAGCCAAUUAUUCUCAUUUCAUAUGUAAACAUAAUAAAUAGCCACAUGAAGCACAAAGUGCUAAGUGUCCAGCUUCUUGAGUUGAAAGUUUACUCCACAGCAUGUGAGGAGAACUAGCUCUUUCUGAAGACAACCAAUUAUUGUGCUAAGCUAAGCAAUUUCCCUCCCUAUCUUCAGAACACACACAUAGAGUAAAUGUAGUCUUGAUGAAUUAACUCUUGGUCAAUAAAAAAAGAAGAGAUUAAUUGCUCAAAUGUUAAAUUAGGCCUGUACGCGCUUCUUGAACGCUUGCAGGAAGGGUGUGGGGGGUAAAAAGACUUUAUGGAAAAAGUAAUUGUCAAUAAUUGUCCAUUUUAUUAUUCAUAAUAUACAGUGUGUGCAGGGGCUCAUGGAUAGAAGAAAAAACAGAUAAGGGCAUAAUAAAUUAACUCAUGUUUAAAGAAAAAUCUGAGAUUUAAUAGAAAAUGAAAAGCCCCUCUUUUUUUUUUUUUUUUUUAAACAGAUCAUGCACAUGUUCUCAGCUGGAUAAAAUCCAUUAUUGUUGUUCUAACGUUUUCACACUAAGAUUUCUCUGUCUUUACACAGUUGGCUUGACCCUCUGUGAAAGUCAAUGCACUUUUUGCACUAAUAUAGUGCCAUCUCCAUUCCCACCAAUUAUGUUCAUAAUGAAAACCUGGAGCCCUUCUUCAACUGAUGGCAUGCAUGCAAGAUAAGUGUAGGAGAUUAUAUGUUGCCUAGUAACUUGCCCUGUAUUUAACCCUUUCUUCGCUGCAUGCCUUUUCUCUGUUGAAAGUGCAGUUAUUUGUGGGGUCACGCAUUUAGCAGAGCAAAUGAUUUCGAGACUUUAGUUUCAUUCAAUUAAGUCUCUUGGCCACAAACUUCAGCGUGCAGGCUGUAUUAUUGAUUUGCAUGAUGCAUUGAGGGUGCAAGAGGUAAUGGACCAGGGAAGCUUAAAGAAUCAGUAUUGAACUGUGCAGGGAAAAUAGAAAAAGCGUGAUCCUCCUCAGUAAUGGCAUAAAUAAGAGAUCAGGCAAGAUAUACCAAAUAGAACAGAAAUGAUUUGGCUUAGGAAGGCUGUGGAUUGAGAUUAUGUCUGUAUCAUUGUAGAAAUUUCAUUCUACUUCCACUUUUGUCAUAUCUAUAAUUACCUGUCAAGAUCUUUCCCAAUCUGUUAAGUAAGGAAUACAAAAACAAUGGAGUGGUGUGAUGUGGCCCAAUCUCUGACCAAGCGUUGAUACAGGAGACACUUUCCAAAAAUGGUAAAUAAACAUAUGUUUACAGAAAACGUCACUAUAUCAGUGAUUACAUGCAUUUUAAAAAAUAUGUUUGUUAUCAUUUACUAUAGAAAUGAUAAGGAACGUAUUAGCUUGUCAGAGCUGCUGUUAUAGAAAAUUAAUUGACACCAUCUGACCAAUCAUAAUUGAGAAUUCAAAAUUUCUGUGACUUAAAUGGCAAUAACAAAAGUGUCUAAAAAACCACAUUUUAUAUUAUGACAAAUGCCUCUGUUUACACUGUUCACACUAUGUUUUCAAAUUUCAUAGACCCAUUGUGGAAAGAUAAUCAAUAACUUUAUAUUACAUAAUAUAAUAUAUGACACAGCCCUACCUUUCCUAGAUUUCAGAUACUUCUAGAUUGAAAUAACAAGAAGGAAACACACAACAGCACAGUCUGGGUCUCUGGAGGUUAAUACAGAUAGCCACUGCUUUUCAUCGCAUAGUAUCAACAAAUAUAAUAAUUAACCAACAUCUGACAAUCAUGAUACAGCAAAGUGCAUCCAGUGUCAAACUAAUAAAAAUUAUUGACCUAACAUUUACCCUGUGUUGUUACUUGUGACAUGAAUCUCCAUUUCUUAUUGCUCGUGUGUGCAGUAAAACGGUCAAUGCCAGCUGGCUAUGUGCAGGCUUCAGAUGUCUUAUAUAAUUAUUACUCUCUAAUAACGAUUUCUGGAGCCUUGUUCAUCCGGAACUUGUUUACCAGACGCUCUUCAGUCUAUGUGAGCUUGAUGCUCUCGCUUUCAGUGCUUUGCGUCAUGCUCUGGCCUCAGAGCUCUAAUGCGUCUCUAGACGGAGCUGAUCCAUCCUACAGCAUUAGCAGCCGAGUAAUAAGCCCUCUCCCUGCGAGAAGCCCCAUGAUCUGCGAAACUGAUCAGAAAGGUGAUGUGAUCAAGCAACACGCCACAUGGUGGAAAUGUCCUCUGGAGAGAUAGUGUGGUUUAAGAUAGAAAAGGGUAGUUUUCCUUUUAAUAUCCCUAGCUGAUUGCUGAAUACUGUAGACUGGAAAUGCUGAUGAUACUUCAGUGAAAAUGAGGGGAAAUGGUGGAAUUGGAAAUUAUUGGGUAAACUGAUUUGAAUGGUUCAAUUUGGCUGCAAUAUUUCAUUUUGUUUUUUGUUCAUUUGGAAGCAUAAAAAGGCAAAUUCAUGUAAAUAAUGAUGAAAUAUUAUCCAUGUCUACCGGUGUAUUCCCUACUGAAAGAUUAUGAUUAUACUGUCAUGUCCACAUGGUUCUACUUGUAUACUUGUGUGGUAGCUAAGCUCAACAUUGUUCUUGACAUUGCUUUUAGUGCCAGGAACUCCCAUAAAUGGUUCACUGCAGCCAAUUUACUUACUGUUUACUUUAUGGCUCAUUUAACUCACAGCAAACGCCAAAGCCUCCCAGGAGGAUUUCUUCUCCUCUUUUCAAAAGGCAGAAGGAUCGUAUAGCAAUGCCGAGCUGCAAGGACGCCUCUAUUGCAACCCCGCUCCGAUGCACAGGAGCAGUAAUUUUCUGUGGUCAAUAAUGAGUCAUCCUGAUAUAAAGCUCGAUGCUGAUAAUUCUCAGCGAGAGGCGACGGCACUUUCUCUGGCUGAAAUUACUUUGGACUACCUCCAUGGCCUCUGGCCUCAGGGACUGCACUUUUAAACUUGUUUUGCUUCUGUAGUUCCUCAUGGCCCAACUUUGCCUUUCUGUGUCUUUUGGCAGGCAGGAGCAGUUUGUUUUGAGGUAAACAAGGCUCAUUGUGAAAGAAUGAGAGCUCAGCAAGUUGAGACUGUCUUGGAAUCCAGGAUCAUGAACCGUCUGUAGUGGAAGAUGGUCGCAGGUGGCCUCAGGUGAUCCCGGGAUUCCAUUGGGUAGACAGAAAGUAGUGCUUUCAGGGCUGGGUUGAUAAAGGAGCCUCUAGCACAAAAGAUCAGUGACAGGAAUUCGCAUGUCACCCAUUCACUGGCUGUAGUGACCAAUCCUUUUCCCCAGAGGACACUAAAUGGAGAAAGAUUGCAUAAGGCUGAUGGAGGGGUCAGUGGGAUUCUUGGCAACUUUCCCACAGCCUGAGGUGAAAGAGGUGAGGGAGGACUCUGAUGCUUCCACAUGGCUGUUUACAUUGUGAAUGACACUAAUGAAUCUGAAUGCAGAUUUAGAAAGAUCACAGGGGACAUGACGUAGGUGGAGCUCUUGAGUGCCUGGGUCUUGUAAUUGCCCAGUGCUUUAUCCAUGCAACGCUUAGUCAAAGGUCUCUAACCCUUCUGUUGUACUUGGGUUGAAAUGAUUCAUUCAUUCAUUUAUACUAACCACUUAAUCCUGGUCAGAGCCACAGUGAGUCUAAGGCCUAUCCUGGGAACAGUGGGUACAAGGUGUGAAUGCACCCUGGAUGGGAUGCCAGUCUAUUACAGGGCACCAUGCGCACAUUAAUUCACACCUAGGGUAAUCAGACCUUCAGAGUCACCAAUUCACCUGCUAGCAUGUUUUUUGAAGGUGGGAGGAAACUGGACAACCCAGAGGGAACCCAGACAGACAUAGGGAGAACAUGGACAUUCCACAUUUACAAUAUAAGGUAAGGUGGUAACAAUCCCGCCGUGAUCCAACACUACCAACCAUGAUCUGUUGUCUUCAUUAAGCACUUUAUCCUGGUCAGUGUCACAGUGAGUCCAGUGUCUAUCCCAGGAAGGUGGGAACACACCCUGGAAUUCAGGCUUGGGGAGUAACAGAAUACAUGUAACAGCCUUACGUGAUCAGGGUACAAAAAACUCGUAACUAUAAUCCGUUACACCAGUUACAUCAAAAAACAAAGUAAUCAGAUUACACGUACAUUUAGUAAAAAAAGGGAAUAGUAUCAAGAUCACAAUUUUUAAUUAAUCUUUUGACAAAACACAAUGUAGACAGCUGCUUGAUUAUAGUUCUGGUUCUCUCUUGCCAGUUGUGACUCACAUAAGCAACCUGCUGGUGCAUGCAUAAAUAAAUUGUGUGAGUUAAUUUGGUAGAAAUGAACACAAUUUGUUCUCUGAAAUGUUUUUGUUAGGGUGACCAAACGUACUUUUUUGCUUCUGUUGUGUAGGAGCUUUUAUAUGCUCGUUUUCUGCUUUCGGUGCUGUUACCUUUAAGUAUGUAAAAGCUAUGCUCCUAAAAUUUAUGUGCAGCUAGAUUAACCGUGCUUUCAGGAAGAUCGGCUGUGUACGUUGUGUAAGCAAACUGUUACUUGACGAUUGCUUCCAUUGUAGGUCUUGUUCUGCCACGUUUCAAGGUUGAGGCGGAAGCAAUUGCAGAUAUACAACGUUUUAUUUAAACAAACAAACAACAAAACAAAGACACUAAGACAGCUUGGCAAAAUACUGUGGCAAGAAACAAAACACGGUAACAUGGAACACAGUAGUCUAAGACAAACAUAAGACCGAAAAGCAGUGCAAAAAGUUGCUAAAUAUAGGAGUGCUCGUUAACAGAAACGUGAUUCAGGUGCAGGUAGUCAUGUGACAUAUUGUAGUACAGUGCAGUGGCAGUGGGGACUGAAGUCCAGAGUUACCUCCUUGACAUAUGACAGUUACUUUCAUAUUGUGAUACUUGAAUUAUGUUACUGAUUGCAUUUUUAUGAAGUAAUUUGUAACUGUAACUGAAUACAUUUAUAAAGUAACCCUCCCAACCCUGCUGGAAUGGGAUACCAGUUUGGACAUUCAUUUAUACAUAGGGACAGUUUUGAGUAGCCAGUAUGCCUUCUGGCAGGUUUUUAGGAGGUGGGAGAAAACCACAGAACCAAGAGGAAAUGCACACAUACAUGAAGAAAACAUGGAAAUACCAAAUAGAUAGAAAUGCGAACUCAGGAUCAAAGACUGGACCCUGGAGCUGUGAGGUGGCAACACUACUUGGAGAUGGUGCAUAACCAUUCUGGCCUGGUUGAAAGGCACUACAAAAAUAUUCUCCAUCAUGACACUGGCUUCAUGCGUGGUUUAAUUUCUCUCAGUUUCUUUAUUUUGUUUUAAGACGAGGGUUAAACAAGCAUUGCGAUUGACUGGGUUUUACAAAUACAAAUACGAAAGGUGAUUUUAGUUAUACUUGUGCUUUUCCUUCAUCCAUGCAUGUCUCUGGCCAGUCCAGAUGUUCACUAACUGGCACAUUAUGGCGAUGAAUGACAUCAUAGUCCUGUCAGCCCUGCACCUGAGGAUGUCUAUUCUUUUAGUGUCUGUUCAGGGAGCAAUGUGAUGAUAGAUACGAGGUAGAUGAGGUGUGUGUAUGUGUGUGUGUGUGUGUGUGUGUGUGUGUGUGUGUGUGUGUGUGUGUGUGUUUGUGUUUGCAUGAGGUAGUGUGUGUUACAGAAGUAAUCAGGCAGAUUAGUGGCCAUUGUUUGCCUGCUGUUUGCCCACCUGCUUCCUGGGCUGCUUUUCAAUAUCCAUCUCAGUCGGUGCUGCCUGACUUUUACAACUUCUCAAAGUACUGGUUUAUAUUUGCAACUUUAAGCAUGCUAGCACUAACCUAGUCUCUGUCACUGUCUCUGCUCCACCCACAUCCCACAACCCACAGCAUGUCUGAAACCUUUUUACACUCUGUUGGUCACAAGUUUUACAACCUUGAGGGUUGCAUUUGCAACUAAUUGGCUAUAUGUACAUCUGUGCAGUGCAUUCCGACAAAUCUUUAAGCAUCCAGACAAAAUGAGUGUUUUGGAGCAAGACAUAGCCACUAGAUUGAAAAAAAAGCAGCUGGUACAAUGUAUUAGAAAAUUAUUUUGAAACAGUUAGUUGUGAGUAGAGAAGGUCACUUAAACAACACUUUUUAGUGAAAGUAUGUUGGUGAUUCAUCGAUUGGGGAGCCAUUUAGACCUUCACCAUUCAAAAAAUAUAUUAACCCAUCAUAGGCAACAAAGUUUUUUUGAAUAAAUUUAUUUAAAUAUAAAAGAUGGCUGCAUUUUCCUCUUAUAUCUAUAACACUUUUAGUGAAUCACUUACUUUCAGUCUAUAAUUUUGAUAACAAGGCUGUACUUCAGUAUCAAAAUGUCACUGAAAAUAAAGAAAAAGUAAUGAGCGAACAUAAUUUUCUUCUACCCAUGAUCCUCAGGAAAUUCAAAUGAUGUAAUAUUCAACAUAGAAUAUUCCACAUAUUUCAUAGGGGUUAAUGUGUUCAGCAGCGUUGUGUGAAUGGUGUGGGAGACUAAAAUGGGAAUUUUUUUUUUACAAGCUAUAAUGGACGACUCAUGGAAAAUGAUGUUUCAAGCAUGCAAUAUUAAAUGGAUUCACACGCUAAUGCAAAAAUAGUAAUAAAUAAAUAAAUGCAGUAUUUUAGGGAUUAUAUUUCAAGGUAAAGUGUAGUUAUAGUGGGCUGAAACCUGGCAAAAUGAUUUAUCUGGAACCAGCACAUAGAUUGUCACUUUACCUGUGUUUAAAAAGUCUUCCACUUUUUCUUUACAUAUAUAAUUGUAAAUGUAAUAUCAGUGGGACACAAAUGUCACCCCAAUAGUGGAAUCACCCAUGAAGACUCUGCCUAUGUUCAUAUUUACAUUUGUAUUUGUUUAAAAAGCAUUAUCUGUUCAAGCCGAAUAAUGUAUUUGUAUAGGGGUUACAAGCCUAGCACAUACCCAUGCUCAAUUCGGGUAAACAUACAGCAUGUAGCACAUGACAACAGUCAUGAUUUCUUGGUCAAGAAACCUUGAAACCUCUCAGUGAGUCACCAGAGGUUCAGGUGACACAACAUCACUGGAGAAAAACAGCAAAGUAUCAAACCUUCUUCCUCAAAAUUAUUAUUCUUCCAUUUAUUCCCCAUCUUUUUUUUUUUUAAUAUUGCCUCAGCGCAAUUUUCAUCAUAUGUUCAAGUGCAUCACUUGACCACUAACCAAACUUAUCAGCUAUUCACAAACACGUUGUAUAUAUGGUGUUGAAUUGAAAGAUUGUUUUUUUUUUCAACAUUGGAUUAUUUCAAAAUUAUUUGCUGUAUCUGUAGAAAUGUAUUUAUUUAUCCAUCCAUUUUCCAUACUACUUCUCCUACACAGCAUCACAGGGGAGCCUGGAGCCUAUCCCAGAGAACUCGGGGCACAAGGCGAGGGAUACCUUGGAGCGGGUGCCAACCCAUCACACACACAUUCAAAAACUACGGACAAUUUGGAAAUGCCAAUCGGUCUACAAUGCAUGUAUUUGGGCUGGGUGAGGAAACCGGAGUAACCAGAGGAAACCCUGUAGCAUAGGGAGAACAUGCAAGAUCUACACACACAAGGCAGCGACGGGAUUCAAACCCCCAAUUCCGGAAGUGUAAAGACACUGUGCUUAUUUAUUGAUUUAUUUAUUUAUUUUACAAUAUGUAUUUAUAGGAAAUUUAAUGCAAUAUUAGACUUUUAUUCCACGGCACUUUAUUAUUUUUGAAUAACACCACAGACCAGAAAUUAGUUCCACUUGUAACAUAAACACUGGGUUUAUAUUAAUGGUAUAAUUCUAAUGCAUUAUUGUUUCUGUAAUGCUCCACAUAAUCUAAGGCUAGUUUUGGUUGAAGGUGCUGUGUAACUUGGGGGGGGGGUACUGAUGGUAGUGUCACUCCGCUGGCAUAUUGGGCUGCAUCACACCCCUCUACCCUGCUUGGAUUGCUUGUGUAUAACAGUAUGGUCUGUCAUGUGUUAUUCCUUACAUAUUAUAACUUUAAAGUCUCAUUGUUGCCUAUAAACUCAAGUAUCCAGGAUUUAGUUCUGAACUUCAAUUCAUUUCAGUGUUACUCUGAGUUUCCAUGGGGGGUUUACUCUGGGUUCUCUGGUUUCCUCCCAUGUCUUAAAAACACGGCAAAAGGUUGACUGCACUAGCAUCCCGUCCAGGUUGAAUUCCUGCUUUACACCCAGUGUUCCUGGGAUAGGCUCCGGAUCCACCGUAACCAUGAUCAGAAUAAAGUGGCUAGUGAAGAAUGUAUGAAUUAAUGUUUUCCCAGUUAGAUUCUUGUCUUAGUCUCUUAAGUAGUAUAAGCUUGCUUUUGCUUAAAAAAAUCUGAAGCUUUGAAGCUCAAUUUAGGUUUAAUAUUAGACUCAAAUUAUGCCACUCAUAUAUAAUAUAUGAUAAUAAAUAUGCAUAAUUAACAUGGUCUCCUACUGUUUAAUGUCUCUCAUUGCCUAUAGACUGCUCUUGAUUUGUCAAAAUGCUUAGUGCUCUAGGAUCUCAAUUGAUUCAAAAUGUUGCACGUGAUCGGCUACCCACAGAGAUAUGACAAAUAUGUUAAUACCUGUGCUGUGUAUGACUUCCUGAUGCAACACAAAGAAAGGAGGGAAUAGAAAACCACCUACCUCAAUAUACUGUGAUUAAUAUGUUGUAAAUAAAAAAUAAAAUAAAAUAAAGACACAUCAGGGUAUAGAAUGGAAUAGUCAAGGUUUCAGGGUGUUUCUGUUUCAUUUCAGGCUUUCAUAUUCAUAAACAGCUGCUAUUAUGAAAUGGUAAAGUAUAAGUGUAUAAUGUUGUUGUUUGAAAUUGGACAUACACUACUGGUAUACUUAAAUUGCCAAAAACUUAUUUCUAAGUACAGUGCAUCUUUCAAAGAACAAAAAUACAGACUUUAUGCCUAUGUAUGUUUGUUUUUUAGACAAGUAUUUACUUUACAUGAGUAUUUUUAAAUUUAAUGAAUCUUGUUUAAAAAUGGGAUGAUAUACUAUAUAUAUAUAUAUAUAUA